AGGGACUUAGGAUAGCACCAGACCAAGAGCCUUCAAAGCCCUAAGCGGAGGUGAAAAUCCUCCAGUCCCUG
Molecule: transfer RNA, 71 nt
Filed under: Trichopsis vittata (croaking gourami)
Lineage: Eukaryota; Metazoa; Chordata; Actinopteri; Anabantiformes; Osphronemidae
Rfam family: tRNA
About the family: Transfer RNA (tRNA) molecules are approximately 80 nucleotides in length. Their secondary structure includes four short double-helical elements and three loops (D, anti-codon, and T loops).
Source: RNAcentral